RNAcentral lists this ribosomal RNA (885 nucleotides) under Tuber lyonii. RNAcentral describes it as "eukaryotic LSU rRNA". The stretch from base 289 to 885 matches the Rfam family "Eukaryotic large subunit ribosomal RNA", at positions 1 to 601 of the family's 3401-position model. The record is from RNAcentral. Lineage: Eukaryota; Fungi; Ascomycota; Pezizomycetes; Pezizales; Tuberaceae.
UGAUUGCAGAAUUCAGUGAAUCAUCGAAUCUUUGAACGCACAUUGCGCCUCUUGGUAUUCCUUGAGGCAUGCCUGUUCGAGCGUCACUACAAACCCUCUCAUAGUUAUUAUGGUGUUGAUGGAAGUGAACUGUGUCUAUUGAUGUACUCACACCACUCCAUUGAAAUGAAUAGGCAGGACAAGUGACAACUGCAAUGGACUUAGUAAAUGGUUUCCAGACAUGGACCAGUUCUUUGCUAUGUUGUACAGCCUGUAUCCAUGGACUCCCAUCCAGUAAGCACCUUGGGUUGACCUCGAAUCAGGUAGGGAUACCCGCUGAACUUAAGCAUAUCAAUAAGCGGAGGAAAAGAAACCAACAGGGAUUGCCCCAGUAACGGCGAGUGAAGCGGCAAAAGCUCAAAUUUGAAAUCUGGCACCCCUGGUGUCCGAGUUGUAAUUUGGAGAGGCAUCUUCCGGAGGGACCCAGCCUAUGUUCCUUGGAACAGGACAUCACAGAGGGUGAGAAUCCCGUUCAUGGCUGGAUGUAUCCUCCAGUGGGUAGUGCCUUCUACGAGUCGAGUUGUUUGGGAAUGCAGCUCAAAAUGGGUGGUAAAUUUCAUCUAAAGCUAAAUAUUGGCGAGAGACCGAUAGCGCACAAGUAGAGUGAUCGAAAGAUGAAAAGCACUUUGAAAAUAGAGUCAAACAGUACGUGAAAUUGUUGAAAGGGAAGCGCUUGAGACCAGACUCAGCCUUUGGCAAACAAAUUGUCCUUCUGGACGGUGCACUUGCCCUUGGCUGGGCCAGCAUCAGUUAGGACGGUGGAAUAAAGGCUCGAGGAAUGUGACUCCACUACGGAGUGUUAUAGCCUCGAGUGCCAUACUACCUGUCUUGACUGUGGACCGCGCC